UAAAAGCAUCUACUUCCAUAAACGUUUAAAACUACAUGCUACCACAAAUUAAGUUCCAUCAUAACAAGCAAAGUAAACCAUUCAUUUCUUAACAUAGAACAUCACAUACGAUCAGUUACCUUUAUCAGGCGACUUCAAGUAGAGCGUCUCGCCACCGUCUCCACCGCCAGAGCUACCACCACCCCGCCCCUCACCGGUGGGACCAAUAUCUUGCUUACGACCAAAGUCGGGGAACCCACCACUUAGGUGGGUCCCACUGACACCCGCGCUAUUAUUGUCGGUCUGCAGCAUGUGAAGUCCACUGGUUCCAGUUCCAGAACUCAUGCCCAGAUGGCUAUGCAUUGCUUGCUGCUGUAGUGAAGAGUACUGCUGCUGACUGUACAUCAUGGAUGAGCGUGCAGCCAUGAGUGCUUGUGGUGACAUCUGUUGUGCCUGUUGGUGCUGCUGCAUGUAGUGACUCCCAGCCUGCUGCUGCAUCAUCCCACCUUGAGGAUACUGAGUCAUGAUAGUACAGUUGUUACUGGUGCUUGAGGUUGAGAAUCAGCAAUUGCAGCAAGGUACAUAA
RNAcentral lists this long non-coding RNA (565 nucleotides) under Helianthus annuus (common sunflower). RNAcentral describes it as "sRNA HanXRQr2_Chr14g0660001". The record is from RNAcentral. Lineage: Eukaryota; Viridiplantae; Streptophyta; Magnoliopsida; Asterales; Asteraceae.